GACGAACGCUGGCGGCGUGCUUAACACAUGCAAGUCGAACGGAAAGGCCUCUUUCGGGGGGUACUCGAGUGGCGAACGGGUGAGUAACACGUGAGUAACCUGCCCUUUACUUUGGGAUAACUUCAGGCAACUGGGGCUAAUACCGGAUAGGAGCUCCUGCUUCAUGGUGGGGGUUGGAAAGUUUCGGCGGUUGGGGGUGGACUCGCGGCGUAUCAGCUUGUUGGUGGGGUAGUGGCUUACCAAGGCUUUGACGGGUAGCCGGCCUGAGAGGGUGACCGGCCACAUUGGGACUGAGAGAAGGCCCAGACGCCUAAGGGAGGAAGCAGUGGGGAAGCUUGCACAAUGGGUGGCAGCCGGAUGCAGCAACGCCGUGGGCGGGAUGACGGUCUUCGGGUUGGAAACCGCUUUCGCUCAUGACGAAGCUUUGUGUGACGGUAGUGGGUAAAGAAGCACCGGCUAACUACGUG
RNAcentral lists this ribosomal RNA (467 nucleotides) under uncultured bacterium. Its description in RNAcentral is "partial 16S ribosomal RNA". It matches the Rfam family "Bacterial small subunit ribosomal RNA", at positions 28 to 507 of the family's 1533-position model. The record is from RNAcentral.